GAUGAACGCUAGCGGCAGGCUUAAUACAUGCAAGUCGAGGGGCAGCACGAAUAGCAAUAUUUGGUGGCGACCGGCAAACGGGUGCGGAACACGUACGCAACCUUCCCAGAACAGGUGAAUAGCCCUGCGAAAGUAGGAUUAAUACACCGUAAGAUAUAUAGGUGGCAUCAUUUGUAUAUUAAAGGUCGCAAGAUCGGUUUUGGAUGGGCGUGCGCCUGAUUAGGAGUUGGUGAGGUAACGGCUCACCAAGCCUUCGAUCAGUAACUGGUGUGAGAGCACGACCAGUCACACGGGCACUGAGACACGGGCCCGACUCCUACGGGAGGCAGCAGUAAGAUAUUGUCAAUGACGAAAGUCUGAACCAGCCAUGCCGCGUGAAGGAUGACUGCCCUCUGGGUUGUAAACUUCUUUUAUCUGGGACGAAAAAGGGUCUUUUAGCUCACUUGACGGUACCAGAGGAAUAAGCACCGGC
RNAcentral lists this ribosomal RNA (472 nucleotides) under uncultured bacterium. RNAcentral describes it as "bacterial SSU rRNA". It matches the Rfam family "Bacterial small subunit ribosomal RNA", at positions 28 to 497 of the family's 1533-position model. The record is from RNAcentral.